This 450-nucleotide ribosomal RNA is filed under the name uncultured bacterium. RNAcentral's name for it is "partial 16S ribosomal RNA". It matches the Rfam family "Bacterial small subunit ribosomal RNA", at positions 338 to 795 of the family's 1533-position model. The record is from RNAcentral.
CCUACGGGCGGCUGCAGUAAGGAAUAUUGGACAAUGCCCGCAAGGGUGAUCCAGCCAUGCCGCGUGCAGGAAGACGGCCCUAUGGUUUGUAAACUGCUUUUGAACAAGAGAAAACCCCCUUACGUGUAAGGGGCUGAUAGUAUUGUUAGAAUAAGCAUCGGCUAACUUCGUGCCAGCAGCCGCGGUAAGACGAAGGAUGCAAGCGUUAUUCGGAUUCAUUGGGUUUAAGGGGAGUUGAUAAGUCAGUAUAGAAAUCUUCUCGCUUAACGGUAAAACUGCCAUUGAUACUGUCAAGCUUGAGUACAGUUGCCGUUGGCGGAAUAUGACAUGUAGUGGUGAAAUACAUAGAGAUGUCAUAGAACACCGAUUGCGAAGGCAGCUAACGAAACUGUAACUGACGCUGAGGCUCGAAAGUGCGGGGAUCAAACAGGAUUAGAUACCCGAGUAGUC